GAAGCUGAGUACCAGAGUGAGUCCACCUCCAGGCCCACCUCUUCUGCCACCUCUCGCCGGACUGCCUCCUCCACACUUUCACCUAGAAGCAACCAAAGUUAGGUUCUGCCCUUGCACCCUGCACUUUGCUGGAUCAGAGACCACCUUACCCACAUCACAGAAGCCUGACAGAGCGGUGUACAUCCCCUGAGGAAAUGAGGGCUGUCGUGCGAGGAGGCACCGGCUCCCAUCAGACACCAGGGUGAUAACCACUGGAGACAUCUAGCAAAUGCAUCAAAAAGCAAAGCAAGAAGUUCAGACUGAACAAAUACUGCGCUCCAUGCGAGAUUCAAUCCUGUGAGCGAAGUGAAGGUCUGGCCAUACAAAUGCGUCUCUGACAGCUUCCUGUAGCUUACUAAUUUGAGUUUUGGCAGGCCACCAGAGGAAGUGAAUCCCUGAGACCUUCCUGAUGCAAGAAGCGCCAUCAGAAGGAGCAGACGAAGAAGAUACAAGCAGUGGGAACAAAUACUUGUGACCUCUUACAUGGGCAAGACUACAAAAUAGGCAAAUCUCUGGUCCUGUGUUGCUAAGAUUUUUUUUUCCUUUUUAAAUCUGGGUUUGUAAAAUACUCAUAUUGGUAUCAUCAGUUGAUAAAAGAGUUUUUCAAGCCAAAGAAGCACUGGAAAAUGUAAUUCUAGGCUAAUAAUGGUUAUACUACUAAUCUUGCAUUUUCUUGCUUUUUCUUGUUCUGUUUUGUGUCUCUCCAGCUGCCCCCAAUAAGCAGAAACAAGGAUUAGAAUUGCUAACAGCUGGCCCUUGCAAAACAACUGUUAAUUGCUUUAAAUACAUAAAACCAGCAAACUGGCAUUGAAAGCUUAUGGGCAAGCCACAAGAAACUUCUUGGUAAAAAUUUUUUUCUUUUUUAGCAAGAGCCCAGGGAAAGGCAAACCACUUCUUUAAAGGGAAAGUUAAUGAGUAGUCUUUCCCCAAUCGUUAAAUUUUAGAUGCAAACUAACCAAAUCUGUUUUUUCUCUAAAGUUAGCUUGUAGAACAUAUUAUGUGUGUGAGGAAUUGCUACAGUUUCUCAUACUCAGGGUGGGGACCCUGAAAGACAGAAACUGUCUAAUUUGAUACUGAUGAUUACGUUCUGUGCUCCUAACACUUGCACAGGUAUAGAGGAGACACUUUAACAUCUGAAUGACACUUGAGUAGGAUUUGCCUAUGAUUCACCUGUGUGUUAACACAUCGCCUGCAGGUCACGGCCUAUUGUCUCUAAAAGGCUACUGAAAACCUGGAAAAGGUUUAAAGAGGACAACAAGCAUGAUCAAAGACUAGGAAUACAACUUUCUCUAAUACUACCUGAAAGGAGGUUGUGGAUGCAAAACAAUUCUAGUUACAGAGAGGAGAAAUACUUAACAGAGAUCUUCAUUGACUCUUAUUAUGUAGAUGGACCACAUCAGACUGAGAACAUCCCUAACUUAAAAGUGUUUGAAGGCUAUGACAGUAUUCUAGGCAGUAUGGGCUAAAAGAAAUCUUUGGUGUGAGCCAGUACGGUUGUGUUCUUAUGAGACCUCUUGUGCUUCAUUCUUGUUUCAGAUGGACCUUUCUUUUCAUAUCUUUCAGCAUAGGGCCUAUGGAGUGCUUCUACAGGAUUGCUCAGAAAAGGAAGCAUGUUGUGAGGCUUGUGCUCGCUGCAAAGGAGUCAGUGUAUCUGCUAGAAAACACACAGGGCUCUGCAAAUCCUAAAGAAAGUCUGAAAGGUGCUUAGUCUGCUGCAGUUCUCUCUUAAGAAGUGUUCUUGUUGUACUGGUUCUUAGACAUAGUAAAGUGCUUCUUAACAAGGUGCUGACAUAACAAAUUGCCUGCUUGAAGCUGCCCAACCCCAUCAGCAUUUGACAGCAGGUAAUAAUGCACAAGUCCAGCACAGAGCAAUUUACAAACAAUCUCUUAAUUCAGCUGGAACAUCAGUGACUGUGCCAGAGUUGAGGAAGGCAGGAGAAAAUGAGUAAAUACUUUCUACCUAGCUUGGGAGAAAGCACCGGUAAGGGGCAGAAACAGAUUCAUGGAGCAAGACAAUGCCAUGGCUAUAGGAAACAACCCUCGAUUUGGUGGCCUGGUAGAUGCCAAAAUCCUGGGCUCCUUUUAGGAGAAAUUUCUUUGCCUUCAGCCCCGUGCUGACCAAUACAAGCAAGCCCAUUACUAA
Phalacrocorax carbo (great cormorant) is the source of this 2182-nucleotide non-coding RNA. The record is from RefSeq and is a predicted model, not a curated record. Lineage: Eukaryota; Metazoa; Chordata; Aves; Suliformes; Phalacrocoracidae.